This 253-nucleotide ribosomal RNA is filed under the name uncultured bacterium. RNAcentral describes it as "partial 16S ribosomal RNA". It matches the Rfam family "Bacterial small subunit ribosomal RNA", at positions 524 to 776 of the family's 1533-position model. The record is from RNAcentral.
GACAGAGGGGGCAAGCGUUGCUCGGAAUCACUGGGCGUAAAGGGCGCGUAGGCGGGAUGGCAAGUCGGUCGUGAAAUCUCUCGGCUCAACCGAGAAACGUCGGCCGAUACUGCCGUUCUUGAGGGAUGCAGAGGAGACUGGAAUUCCCGGUGUAGCGGUGAAAUGUGUAGAGAUCGGGAGGAACACCGGUGGCGAAGGCGGGUCUCUGGGCAUUUCCUGACGCUGAGGCGCGAAAGCGUGGGGAGCAAACGGG